This 20-nucleotide transfer RNA is filed under the name Moraea cantharophila. RNAcentral describes it as "partial tRNA-Phe". The record is from RNAcentral. Lineage: Eukaryota; Viridiplantae; Streptophyta; Magnoliopsida; Asparagales; Iridaceae.
UAAAGGUCGGGAUAGCUCAG